GGGAGACUUAGCCAGCUCUUCUUUCUGCAUUCAGAAUCACCUUAACCGAUCAUUGGCGAAGUCACUAGUCAUGAAGGGUAUCUCUCAAGAUGCCAAACCAUCUAAACUUCAUGUAUCCCAUAAAUCAAGUAGAAUAUCAGUUCUGUCAGAGAGCUUUAACACCAUAUCACUGAAGAUAGAGAGAUUCACAUUCUUGUGGUAGAUAUUCAGGCAGGGAAGUGAGAUUGACAAACCCGGAUGCAAAUUUUCAAGUUGGGAACACACCAAAUAAAAUCUUGAUUUUAGUUGUGUGUUUUUUUAAAACAACACCAACCCUCAUUAAGACUUCGAGAUUAACUUAUGUCAUGUUUGGUUACCCGAGGAGGCAAGACAAAUUACACAGUUUUCAUUCAAAUGUUUGAUGCUCAUGAAAAAACACUACCUAGAAAUUACACGACAACAACAACAACGAUUAAUAAACAAACUGGAGAGGGUAGAGAGUACUCAAACC
This 490-nucleotide unclassified non-coding RNA is filed under the name Hevea brasiliensis (rubber tree). Lineage: Eukaryota; Viridiplantae; Streptophyta; Magnoliopsida; Malpighiales; Euphorbiaceae. The record is from RNAcentral.